UACGUAGGGGGCAAGCGUUGUCCGGAAUCAUUGGGCGUAAAGCGCGUGUAGGCGGUUCGGUAAGUCUGCUGUGAAAGUCCAGGGCUCAACCCUGGGAUGCCGGUGGAUACUGUCGGACUAGAGUACGGAAGAGGCGAGUGGAAUUCCCGGUGUAGCGGUGAAAUGCGCAGAUAUCGAGAGGAACACCAAUUGCGAAGGCAGCUCGCUGGGACGUCACUGACGCUGAGACGCGAAAGCGUGGGGAGCAAACAGG
RNAcentral lists this ribosomal RNA (253 nucleotides) under uncultured bacterium. Its description in RNAcentral is "partial 16S ribosomal RNA". It matches the Rfam family "Bacterial small subunit ribosomal RNA", at positions 524 to 776 of the family's 1533-position model. The record is from RNAcentral.